RNAcentral lists this ribosomal RNA (440 nucleotides) under uncultured bacterium. Its description in RNAcentral is "partial 16S ribosomal RNA". It matches the Rfam family "Bacterial small subunit ribosomal RNA", at positions 338 to 795 of the family's 1533-position model. The record is from RNAcentral.
CCUACGGGUGGCAGCAGUGGGGAAUAUUGCACAAUGGGGGAAACCCUGAUGCAGCGACGCCGCGUGAGUGAAGAAGUAUUUCGGUACGUAAAGCUCUAUCAGCAGGGAAGAAAAUGACGGUACCUGACUAAGAAGCCCCGGCUAACUACGUGCCAGCAGCCGCGGUAAUACGUAGGGGGCACGCGUUAUCCGGAUUUACUGGGUGUAAGGGGAGCUUAGACGGCAGCGCAAGUCUGGAGUGAAAUCCCAUGGCUUAACCAUGGAACUGCUUUGGAAACUGUGCAGCUAGAGUGCAGGAGAGGUAAGCGGAAUUCCUAGUGUAGCGGUGAAAUGCGUAGAUAUUAGGAGGAACACCAGUGGCGAAGGCGGCUUACUGGACUGUAACUGACGUUGAGGCUCGAAAGCGUGGGGAGCAAACAGGAUUAGAUACCCGGGUAGUC